GAUGAACGCUGGCGGCGUGCUUAACACAUGCAAGUCGAACGGUGAAGGCGGAGCUUGCUCUGCUGGAUCAGUGGCGAACGGGUGAGUAACACGUGAGCAAUCUGCCCCUGACUCUGGGAUAAGCGCUGGAAACGGCGUCUAAUACUGGAUACGAGCUGCGAAGGCAUCUUCAGCAGCUGGAAAGAACUUCGGUCAGGGAUGAGCUCGCGGCCUAUCAGCUUGUUGGUGAGGUAACGGCUCACCAAGGCGUCGACGGGUAGCCGGCCUGAGAGGGUGACCGGCCACACUGGGACUGAGACACGGCCCAGACUCCUACGGGAGGCAGCAGUGGGGAAUAUUGCACAUGGGCGAAAGCCUGAUGCAGCAACGCCGCGUGAGGGACGACGGCCUUCGGGUUGUAAACCUCUUUUAGCAGGGAAGAAGCGAAAGUGACGGUACCUGCAGAAAAAGCGCCGGCUAACUACGUG
This 467-nucleotide ribosomal RNA is filed under the name uncultured bacterium. RNAcentral describes it as "partial 16S ribosomal RNA". It matches the Rfam family "Bacterial small subunit ribosomal RNA", at positions 28 to 507 of the family's 1533-position model. The record is from RNAcentral.